Molecule: ribosomal RNA, 301 nt
Filed under: uncultured bacterium
Lineage: Bacteria
Description: partial 16S ribosomal RNA
Rfam family: Bacterial small subunit ribosomal RNA
Source: RNAcentral
CAGCAGCCGCGGUAAUACGAAGGGGGCUAGCGUUGUUCGGAUUUACUGGGCGUAAAGCGCACGUAGGCGGACUUUUAAGUCAGGGGUGAAAUCCCGGGGCUCAACCCCGGAACUGCCUUUGAUACUGGAAGUCUUGAGUAUGGUAGAGUUGAGUGGAAUUCCGAGUGUAGAGGUGAAAUUCGUAGAUAUUCGGAGGAACACCAGUGGCGAAGGCGGCUCACUGGACCAUUACUGACGCUGAGGUGCGAAAGCGUGGGGAGCAAACAGGAUUAGAUACCCCCGUAGUCCCUGUCUCUUAUAA